This 439-nucleotide ribosomal RNA is filed under the name uncultured bacterium. Its description in RNAcentral is "partial 16S ribosomal RNA". It matches the Rfam family "Bacterial small subunit ribosomal RNA", at positions 339 to 795 of the family's 1533-position model. The record is from RNAcentral.
CUACGGGGGGCUGCAGUGGGGAAUAUUGCACAAUGGGGGAAACCCUGAUGCAGCAACGCCGCGUGGAGGAUGACACAUUUCGGUGCGUAAACUCCUUUUAUAGGUCAAGAUAAUGACGGUAGCCUAUGAAUAAGCGCCGGCUAACUCCGUGCCAGCAGCCGCGGUAAUACGGAGGGCGCAAGCGUUACUCGGAAUCACUGGGCGUAAAGAGCAUGUAGGCGGGUUAAUAAGUCAGAAGUGAAAUCCAAUAGCUCAACUAUUGAACUGCUUUUGAAACUGUUAACCUAGAGUGUGGGAGAGGUAGAUGGAAUUUCUGGUGUAGGGGUAAAAUCCGUAGAGAUCAGAAGGAAUACCGAUUGCGAAGGCGAUCUACUGGAACAUUACUGACGCUGAGAUGCGAAAGCGUGGGGAGCAAACAGGAUUAGAUACCCUAGUAGUC